This 500-nucleotide ribosomal RNA is filed under the name uncultured bacterium. RNAcentral's name for it is "partial 16S ribosomal RNA". It matches the Rfam family "Bacterial small subunit ribosomal RNA", at positions 30 to 523 of the family's 1533-position model. The record is from RNAcentral.
AUUGAACGCUGGCGGAAUGCUUUACACAUGCAAGUCGAACGGCAGCACGGACUUCGGUCUGGUGGCGAGUGGCGAACGGGUGAGUAAUAUAUCGGAACGUGCCCAGUCGUGGGGGAUAACGUAGUGAAAAUUACGCUAAUACCGCAUACGAUCUAUGGAUGAAAGCGGGGGAUCGCAAGACCUCGCGCGAUUGGAGCGGCCGAUACCAGAUUAGGUAGUUGGUGGGGUAAAGGCUCACCAAGCCGACGAUCUGUAGCUGGUCUGAGAGGACGACCAGCAAUACUGGAACGGAGACCCGGUCCAGACUCCUACGGGAGGCAGCAGUGGGGAAUUUUGGACAAUGGACGCAAGUCUGAUCCAGCCAUUCCGCGUGCAGGACGAAGGCCUUCGGGUUGUAAACUGCUUUUGUACAGAACGAAAAGGUCUCUAUUAAUACGAGGGGCUCAUGACGGUACUGUAAGAAUAAGCACCGGCUAACUACGUGCCAGCAGCCGCGGUAA